This 279-nucleotide unclassified non-coding RNA is filed under the name plant metagenome. RNAcentral's name for it is "partial contains small subunit ribosomal RNA, internal transcribed spacer 1, and 5.8S ribosomal RNA". The record is from RNAcentral.
UUUCCGUAGGUGAACCAGCGGAGGGAUCAUUACUGGAUUCGCAAGAUUCCACAACCCUGUGAACCUACCGAUACGUUGCCCCGGCGGGUGCCCGGCCCCCGCUGCGGGCGCUGCGCCCGCCGGCGGGUCCCUACCCCGUCUCUCCAGCGUGGCAACUCAGAGUCCCAGAAAACAAGUCAAAACUUUCAACUACGGAACUCUUGGCCCUCGCAUCGAUGAAGAAUGCAGCAGAUGGGGAGAGCACCCGCUUGAAAUCCAGUCACGCUUAACAACUUUCUA